AUUGAACGCUGGCGGCAGGCUUAACACAUGCAAGUCGAGCGGAGAUGAGGUGCUUGCACCUUAUCUUAGCGGCGGACGGGUGAGUAAUGCUUAGGAAUCUGCCUAUUAGUGGGGGACAACAUUCCGAAAGGAAUGCUAAUACCGCAUACGUCCUACGGGAGAAAGCAGGGGAUCUUCGGACCUUGCGCUAAUAGAUGAGCCUAAGUCGGAUUAGCUAGUUGGUGGGGUAAAGGCCUACCAAGGCGACGAUCUGUAGCGGGUCUGAGAGGAUGAUCCGCCACACUGGGACUGAGACACGGCCCAGACUCCUACGGGAGGCAGCAGUGGGGAAUAUUGGACAAUGGGGGGAACCCUGAUCCAGCCAUGCCGCGUGUGUGAAGAAGGCCUUAUGGUUGUAAAGCACUUUAAGCGAGGAGGAGGCUACUGAGACUAAUACUCUUGGAUAGUGGACGUUACU
This 457-nucleotide ribosomal RNA is filed under the name Acinetobacter sp. ML12. Its description in RNAcentral is "bacterial SSU rRNA". It matches the Rfam family "Bacterial small subunit ribosomal RNA", at positions 30 to 479 of the family's 1533-position model. Lineage: Bacteria; Pseudomonadati; Pseudomonadota; Gammaproteobacteria; Moraxellales; Moraxellaceae. The record is from RNAcentral.